UGCAAAGAGGUUCUGCCGAUAUUGAGUG
This 28-nucleotide small RNA is filed under the name Bombyx mori (domestic silkworm). RNAcentral describes it as "ovarian small RNA-33255". The record is from RNAcentral. Lineage: Eukaryota; Metazoa; Arthropoda; Insecta; Lepidoptera; Bombycidae.